This 698-nucleotide ribosomal RNA is filed under the name Pseudomonas sp. VC 4. Its description in RNAcentral is "bacterial SSU rRNA". It matches the Rfam family "Bacterial small subunit ribosomal RNA", at positions 62 to 755 of the family's 1533-position model. Lineage: Bacteria; Pseudomonadati; Pseudomonadota; Gammaproteobacteria; Pseudomonadales; Pseudomonadaceae. The record is from RNAcentral.
UCGAGCGGAAGAAGGGAGCUUGCUCCCGGAUUCAGCGGCGGACGGGUGAGUAACACCUGGGAAUCUGCCUGGUAGUGGGGGAUAACGUCCGGAAACGGGCGCUAAUACCGCGUACGUCCUACGGGAGAAAGCAGGGGAUCUUCGGACCUUGCGCUAUCAGAUGAGCCCAGGUCGGAUUAGCUAGUAGGUGAGGUAAUGGCUCACCUAGGCGACGAUCCGUAACUGGUCUGAGAGGAUGAUCAGUCACACUGGAACUGAGACACGGUCCAGACUCCUACGGGAGGCAGCAGUGGGGAAUAUUGGACAAUGGGGGCAACCCUGAUCCAGCCAUGCCGCGUGUGUGAAGAAGGUCUUCGGAUUGUAAAGCACUUUAAGUUGGGAGGAAGGGCUUUAGGUUAAUACCCUGAAGUUUUGACGUUACCAACAGAAUAAGCACCGGCUAACUCUGUGCCAGCAGCCGCGGUAAUACAGAGGGUGCAAGCGUUAAUCGGAAUUACUGGGCGUAAAGCGCGCGUAGGUGGUUCAGUAAGAUGGGUGUGAAAUCCCCGGGCUUAACCUGGGAACUGCUUUCAUAACUGCUGAGCUAGAGUACGGUAGAGGGUAGUGGAAUUUCCUGUGUAGCGGUGAAAUGCGUAGAUAUAGGAAGGAACACCAGUGGCGAAGGCGACUACCUGGACUGAUACUGACACUGAGGUGCG